CGCGUAGGCGGCGCGGGCAGUCAACGGUGAAAGCUUGGGGCUCAACCCCGAGUCGGCCGUCGAUACUCCCGUGCUUGAGCACUGUAGAGGCAGGUGGAAUUCCGGGUGUAGCGGUGGAAUGCGUAGAGAUCCGGAAGAACACCGGUGGCGAAGGCGGCCUGCUGGGCAGUAGCUGACGCUGAGGCGCGACAGCGUGGGAGCAAACA
This 206-nucleotide ribosomal RNA is filed under the name uncultured bacterium. Its description in RNAcentral is "partial 16S ribosomal RNA". It matches the Rfam family "Bacterial small subunit ribosomal RNA", at positions 568 to 774 of the family's 1533-position model. The record is from RNAcentral.